CACUGACGGACGCCUGUCGUUGUACCAGAAGGUUUGAAUCUGUUCAACUUUCUCUUCUGUACAAAAGAAGAAUCUGUUGACUUGGAAUAUACUGGUGAAACAGAGGGAGGACAAAUAUGGUACUGCUGAUUAUGAUUGUGCUAUCUAUAUCCGAAUUUUCAAAAAUUACGGCAUCCAGUGAGCAGGACCAGGGAAACCCUACCGCACAGCAAGAAGCUGACGGAGAUCCUUUACUUCCAAGGAUACCAUUAGAUAGCGUU
Molecule: non-coding RNA, 260 nt
Organism: Dermacentor andersoni
Lineage: Eukaryota; Metazoa; Arthropoda; Arachnida; Ixodida; Ixodidae
Source: RefSeq, a predicted model, not a curated record